This 72-nucleotide transfer RNA is filed under the name marine eukaryotic metagenome. It matches the Rfam family "tRNA". Rfam says of the family: Transfer RNA (tRNA) molecules are approximately 80 nucleotides in length. The record is from RNAcentral.
GGGGGAUAGCUCAGCUGGAUAGAGCGCCUGUCUUACAAACAGGAGGUCGGGGGUUCAAGUCCCUCUCUCCCC